GACGAACGCGGCGGCGUGCCUAAUACAUGCAAGUCGAACGCUUCUUUCCUCCCGAGUGCUUGCACUCAAUUGGAAAGAGGAGUGGCGGACGGGUGAGUAACACGUGGGUAACCUACCCAUCAGAGGGGGAUAACACUUGGAAACAGGUGCUAAUACCGCAUAACAGUUUAUGCCGCAUGGCAUAAGAGUGAAAGGCGCUUUCGGGUGUCGCUGAUGGAUGGACCCGCGGUGCAUUAGCUAGUUGGUGAGGUAACGGCUCACCAAGGCCACGAUGCAUAGCCGACCUGAGAGGGUGAUCGGCCACACUGGGACUGAGACACGGCCCAGACUCCUACGGGAGGCAGCAGUAGGGAAUCUUCGGCAAUGGACGAAAGUCUGACCGAGCAACGCCGCGUGAGUGAAGAAGGUUUUCGGAUCGUAAAACUCUGUUGUUAGAGAAGAACAAGGACGUUAGUAACUGAACGUCCCCUG
RNAcentral lists this ribosomal RNA (471 nucleotides) under Enterococcus faecalis. RNAcentral's name for it is "bacterial SSU rRNA". It matches the Rfam family "Bacterial small subunit ribosomal RNA", at positions 28 to 481 of the family's 1533-position model. The record is from RNAcentral. Lineage: Bacteria; Bacillati; Bacillota; Bacilli; Lactobacillales; Enterococcaceae.